Molecule: ribosomal RNA, 433 nt
Filed under: uncultured bacterium
Lineage: Bacteria
Description: partial 16S ribosomal RNA
Rfam family: Bacterial small subunit ribosomal RNA
Source: RNAcentral
AACGAACGCUGGCGGCAUGCCUAACACAUGCAAGUCGAACGAGACCUUCGGGUCUAGUGGCGCACGGGUGCGUAACGCGUGGGAAUCUGCCCUUGGGUUCGGAAUAACAGUUGGAAACGACUGCUAAUACCGGAUGAUGACGUAAGUCCAAAGAUUUAUCGCCCAAGGAUGAGCCCGCGUAGGAUUAGCUAGUUGGUGAGGUAAAGGCUCACCAAGGCGACGAUCCUUAGCUGGUCUGAGAGGAUGAUCAGCCACACUGGGACUGAGACACGGCCCAGACUCCUACGGGAGGCAGCAGUGGGGAAUAUUGGGCAAGGGGCGAAAGCCUGAUGCAGCAAUGCCGCGUGAGUGAUGAAGGCCUUAGGGUUGUAAAGCUCUUUUACCCGGGAUGAUAAUGACAGUACCGGGAGAAUAAGCUCCGGCUAACUCCGUG